This 867-nucleotide long non-coding RNA is filed under the name Oryctolagus cuniculus (rabbit). RNAcentral describes it as "lncRNA (ENSOCUG00000032618.1)". The record is from RNAcentral. Lineage: Eukaryota; Metazoa; Chordata; Mammalia; Lagomorpha; Leporidae.
UGUUCAUUUCUUCUUUAUCUUUGCAGAUCAGUCUUCAAACUUGGAUUUGUCACGGAUCCCUCUACUGGUGAACUACCCCAGGACCUUGAAGGACGAGCUCCAAAUCCACUUCCUAAGACCCCCAGCCAGAGGGAGCUAACCAAGUAUACAUCCCGGGGAGUUCUGUGUAAUUCCUCUGGAGUCCUGGCUUAUCCACUCAUCUCAAUCCACAGUCAGGUCUGUGCUGGGGGUAAAGCCAGCUCUUCCUCUCUCUGUGCUGGAGGUGUGCAGUCACGGGUGGCGCUGCUCAGCACUCUCACAGCCAAAGACACUUACCAAGUGGGAGCAAAGAGGUUCCUUUUAGGUAGAUUUUAGCGUGAAGGCCUAAGUCUACCUGAGUAGCCACACGAGGCUACCUUCUUGGUUGAAGGUACACAGAACAGAAGCAUUUACAGAUCUUCUCCCAGAUCCUGCACAGUGAAAAUAGAGUGAGAGUCACCCACGUUGACUUGGAGCAGGCCUGGCAAUGGCAGUGAGCUUCUGGGAGAGCCAGGGUGGCUCUGCUUCUCAAACUGGGGGAAGGUGGGUAAACCGCCUCUCUCUGUGUCUCACUUCCCUCCUUCAUCAAAUGGGAAUGGCACACGAACACACACACACACACACACACACAGUCGAGUUAAUGUGAAGCUUUAAUGUGAUGGCUGUGUGUGUGUGGGGGGGUGUUUUCAUGAAUGGCAAAACUGAGGCUCAGGGAGACUCCAGUUAGUGUUCACCUUGGAUCCUGUCUGCCUGAGGCAUUGUCUCAGCAUUUCCACUUCUGAUCCCUCACUCAGUUCCUCAACAGAGCUCUAAGGUCCAUUUUUUUUCUCAUUUUCUAGAAGUAGAAAU